UAUCUCGGUGCGAUCGUAC
This 19-nucleotide microRNA is filed under the name Caenorhabditis elegans. RNAcentral's name for it is "cel-miR-243-5p". Its record names the gene cel-miR-243-5p. Lineage: Eukaryota; Metazoa; Nematoda; Chromadorea; Rhabditida; Rhabditidae. The record is from miRBase by way of RNAcentral.